RNAcentral lists this ribosomal RNA (416 nucleotides) under uncultured bacterium. RNAcentral describes it as "bacterial SSU rRNA". It matches the Rfam family "Bacterial small subunit ribosomal RNA", at positions 355 to 788 of the family's 1533-position model. The record is from RNAcentral.
UGGGGAAUCUUGGACAAUGGGGGCAACCCUGAUCCAGCCAUGCCGCGUGAGUGAUGAAGGCCUUAGGGUCGUAAAGCUCUUCGCCUGUGAAGAUAAUGACGGUAGCAGGUAAAGAAACCCCGGCUAACUCCGUGCCAGCAGCCGCGGUAAUACGGAGGGGGUUAGCGUUGUUCGGAAUUACUGGGCGUAAAGCGCACGUAGGCGGACCAGAAAGUUGGGGGUGAAAUCCCGGGGGCUCAACCCCGGAACUGCCUCCAAAACUAUUGGUCUAGAGUUCGAGAGAGGUGAGUGGAAUUCCAAGUGUAGAGGUGAAAUUCGUAGAUAUUUGGAGGAACACCAGUGGCGAAGGCGGCUCACUGGCUCGAUACUGACGCUGAGGUGCGAAAGUGUGGGGAGCAAACAGGAUUAGAUACCCU